This is a non-coding RNA of Camelina sativa (false flax), 1586 nucleotides long. The record is from RefSeq and is a predicted model, not a curated record. Lineage: Eukaryota; Viridiplantae; Streptophyta; Magnoliopsida; Brassicales; Brassicaceae.
UUGGCCUAGCAUCGAUCGAUGCUAUCAAUGUGUCGAUCGAUGCACUCUCUCAAUUUCGUCUCCCAACUUUGUAACUCAGCCUCAAUGCUUGAUUAAGCUCCAAAUCCUCCAAUUUAGCUCCAUUAUGCUUCCAUCCAUGUUAAAUCCUAUAAAGACUCAAAAAACUCUAAAAACACCAAAAAGACUCUAUAAUUAAGACUUAUAUCAUGACUCGACUCACAAUUCUAUGGAUCAAGCGGAGGAGGCGGCAGUGAAGAAUUUCUUUAUCGUGUUUUUAUUGGAUUAAGAUCAACUCCAGUGAUGAAACCAAUCGCUGUUUGAUCCGGUGGCUGAUAGGUUUUUACGGCGUUUCUAGAUCUGUUGGCUUGGACAGAGGAAGAACCACGAGACUAGCUUUCAUUUCUUAAUUGGAUCUCCCUGGUAAACUCAUCUUAAAUCCUUGAACUAAUAAUCCUUUUGUUAUCAAUUUUCUAGAUUUGAUGUAAAUACUGAUUUGUGUAGAGGUUGAAUCUGAAAUUGUAUAUUUUCUGUUUAUAUUCUAGGAAAAUCCGUUAAUCUCAGAAUUGUGUAUUUCUGCUUUUGUUCUAGGACUUGAACGGACAGGUUCAAUUAUAUAUUGGUGGUAUUCUUAUGUUACACCAAGUAAAUGGAAUAAUGUUGUAUAAAGUACUAUUCUUUCUACACAAUGUUACUGAUGCUUCUUGUGUUUCAUUUGUACCAUGAUCGCAAGACUGCUUAAAAACGGAGGAUGUGUGGGAGAAUAUAUUGGUGAUGUAUUUUUUUUUUAGCUCGGUUUCUGGACCAUUUUUCUCUAUUGUUAAACCGGUAAACUUUAUCUGAAAAUGAUUUCUUUAGAGACUUGCAAAGCCACAAACUUAGUCUUCAUUGUUGUAUGUUCUGUUUGCUGUGUAGUGUGGCUUAACAAGGAUUAUGAUGAGUAACCAUUGUUUGUUUCUUUGUUAGGCUUGCAAGCAUGACAGAUACAAAACAUGUGUAGAAAGUCUCCAACCAAACCAUUUAGCUGCUGAAGAAUUUGUUCUCAAACCAUUUAGCUGCUGAAGAAUUUGUUAAUUCCUCAAGUUCAGAGUCUUCUUGAAAAGUUGGCCACACCACACCCAACAAUACGAUGCUUGCCCACAAGAAAAGUCACGGCGUAGCAGCUAUGGCCAGCUGUGGCUAGAACUUGAACAGAGAGGUAGCCGUAUAGCUCAUUGAUAUCAUGGACAACAACAAGAUGGCUGCUCCCGUGUCGGAUCUGUGGACGGCGGGAGACCAUAGUCUCCAAGAAUGAGUGGCCACAUUUUGUGGACCGCAGAAGGUGUUACUGCCAAAAAGACCAACAAAUUACCUCUUCUUUACUUAGAAGGAAAGGCGAGUUGCUUGGUGACCGCAGAAGGUGAUACUCCUUUGGAGUUUACUCCUAAUUUACAUAUGACUGAUAUUUUCUCAUCCUCAUUUGUUCAUAUACGAGUAGGAUGAAGCAAUGUUGUCCUAUUCAGCUUGGUUAAUUAUGUUUUCUUUAUCCUACAGUGGAAACCAAAUGAAUAAAAAAUCUAUUACCUUCAGUGCAAUAUUGACUUCAUUUA